AUGAUGAUGCAGUAUAUAUACUGGCCGGGGCGCCUCUGCCUUCUGCGUACUGCAUACUCACAAUCACAAGUUGGCUCUCCUCUGCAUCUCCCGCGGAGCACGCAUCUAUCAGCAAUGGCGGCCACCUCCAUCGUCGACGUCUUCGCCGCCCGACCGUCGCCGGCUCUAGGGCUGCCUGGGCUGAGACUCACCAGGGCCAAGGGGCUGAGGUGCAGGUGCAGUGUCAGCAAGAAGGCGUCUUCGGCUCUGGCUCCGAUGGUGGCCAAGGGCGCGCCGCUGCUCGCUAAGGCGAGCUGCAUGGCGUCAACAGCCCCGAUGCUGGCCUUGGCUCUGGCGCUGGUGGACGAAGGGAUGUCAGGUGAGCGCGCCGGGCAGAGCAACGACCUGCUGGGGUGGACUCUGCUGCUUGCCUUGGGCCUCGUCUUGUGCUUCUACGCCGUCUACUCCACCACCUUCGACGACGACGACGACCACUCAGGUGCCGGCGGCAUCACGCUCUGA
This 501-nucleotide ribosomal RNA is filed under the name Triticum aestivum (bread wheat). RNAcentral's name for it is "partial small subunit ribosomal RNA". Lineage: Eukaryota; Viridiplantae; Streptophyta; Magnoliopsida; Poales; Poaceae. The record is from RNAcentral.